RNAcentral lists this ribosomal RNA (253 nucleotides) under uncultured bacterium. Its description in RNAcentral is "partial 16S ribosomal RNA". It matches the Rfam family "Bacterial small subunit ribosomal RNA", at positions 524 to 776 of the family's 1533-position model. The record is from RNAcentral.
UACGAAGGGGGCUAGCGUUGUUCGGAAUCACUGGGCGUAAAGGGCGCGUAGGCGGCUUUGUAAGGCGGGGGUGAAAGCCUGUGGCUCAACCACAGAAUUGCCUUCGAUACUGCAUGGCUUGAGACCGGAAGAGGUAAGUGGAACUGCGAGUGUAGAGGUGAAAUUCGUAGAUAUUCGCAAGAACACCAGUGGCGAAGGCGGCUUACUGGUCCGGAUCUGACGCUGAGGCGCGAAAGCGUGGGGAGCAAACAGG